Molecule: ribosomal RNA, 245 nt
Filed under: uncultured bacterium
Lineage: Bacteria
Description: partial 16S ribosomal RNA
Rfam family: Bacterial small subunit ribosomal RNA
Source: RNAcentral
AGUAACGCGUGAGGAACCUGCCUUCCAGAGGGGGACAACAGUUGGAAACGACUGCUAAUACCGCAUGACACAUUUGAAUCGCAUGGUUUGAAUGUCAAAGAUUUAUCGCUGGAAGAUGGCCUCGCGUCUGAUUAGCUAGUUGGUAGGGUAACGGCCUACCAAGGCGACGAUCAGUAGCCGGACUGAGAGGUUGACCGGCCACAUUGGGACUGAGAUACGGCCCAGACUCCUACGGGAGGCAGCAG